UCUGGGCAUGUUGCUGUAUACCUCUAGUCCCAGCUACCUGGGAGGCUGAGGCAGGAGGAUCACUUGAGCCCAGGAGUUGGAGGCAAGGCCAAUCUGGGCAAUGUUCUAAGACUCUGUCUCAA
This 122-nucleotide small RNA is filed under the name Marmota monax (woodchuck). Lineage: Eukaryota; Metazoa; Chordata; Mammalia; Rodentia; Sciuridae. The record is from RNAcentral.